This 347-nucleotide ribosomal RNA is filed under the name uncultured bacterium. RNAcentral's name for it is "partial 16S ribosomal RNA". It matches the Rfam family "Bacterial small subunit ribosomal RNA", at positions 338 to 682 of the family's 1533-position model. The record is from RNAcentral.
CCUACGGGAGGCAGCAGUGAGGAAUAUUGGUCAAUGGGCGCGAGCCUGAACCAGCCAAGUAGCGUGAAGGAUGACUGCCCUACGGGUUGUAAACUUCUUUUAUAAAGGAAUAAAGUGAGGCACGUGGGCCUUUUUGUAUGUACUUUAUGAAUAAGGAUCGGCUAACUCCGUGCCAGCAGCCGCGGUAAUACGGAGGAUCCGAGCGUUCUCCGGAUUUAUUGGGUUUAAAGGGAGCGUAGAUGGGUUUUUAAGGCAGUUGUGAAAGUUUGCGGCUUCACCGUAAAAUUGCAAUUGAUACUGGCAGUCUUGAGUCCAGUUGAGGUUGUCGUACUUCUUGGUGUAGCCGU